This 377-nucleotide ribosomal RNA is filed under the name uncultured bacterium. RNAcentral's name for it is "bacterial SSU rRNA". It matches the Rfam family "Bacterial small subunit ribosomal RNA", at positions 521 to 896 of the family's 1533-position model. The record is from RNAcentral.
UAAGACAGAGGGUGCAAACGUUGCUCGGAUUUACUGGGCGUAAAGCGCAAGUAGGCGGUCUUGUAAGUCGGGUGUGAAAACCCGGGGCUCAACCCCGGCAGUGCACACGAUACUGCGAGACUGGGGUACUGAAGAGGAGAGCGGAAUUCUCGGUGUAGAGGUGAAAUUCGUAGAUAUCGGGAGGAACACCAGUGGCGAAGGCGGCUCUCUGGGCAGAUACCGACGCUGAGAUGCGAAAGCGUGGGAAGCAAACAGGAUUAGAUACCCUGGUAGUCCACGCCGUAAACGAUGACGACUGGGUGUUGCGGGUAUUGACCCCCGCGGUGCCGAAGCUAACGCGUUAAGUCGUCCGCCUGGGAAGUACGGCCGCAAGGCUA